CCUACGGGUGGCAGCAGUGAGGAAUAUUGGUCAAUGGGCGCAAGCCUGAACCAGCCAAGUCGCGUGAGGGAAGAUGGCCCUACGGGUUGUAAACCUCUUUUGCCGGGGAGCAAGCCUGAGCACGUGUGCCCCGGCGGAGAGUACCCGGAGACAAAGCCUCGGCUAACUCCGUGCCAGCAGCCGCGGUAAUACGGAGGUUGCGAUCGUUAUCCGGCUUUAUUGGGUUUAAAGGGUGCGCAGGCGGAAGAUCAAGUCAGCGGUAAAAUUGAGAGGCUCAACCUCUGCGAGCCGUUGAAACUGGUGUUCUGGAGUGAGUGAGAAGUAGGCGGAAUGCGUGGUGUAGCGGUGAAAUGCAUAGAUAUCACGCAGAACUCCGAUUGCGAAGGCAGCAUACCGGAGCGCAACUGACGCUCAUGCACGAAAGUGUGGGUAUCGAACAGGAUUAGAUACCCUUGUAGUC
RNAcentral lists this ribosomal RNA (460 nucleotides) under uncultured bacterium. RNAcentral's name for it is "partial 16S ribosomal RNA". It matches the Rfam family "Bacterial small subunit ribosomal RNA", at positions 338 to 795 of the family's 1533-position model. The record is from RNAcentral.